CCUACGGGGAGCAGCAGUGAGGAAUAUUGGUCAAUGGACGAGAGUCUGAACCAGCCAAGUAGCGUGAAGGAUGACUGCCCUAUGGGUUGUAAACUUCUUUUAUAUGGGAAUAAAAUGUUCCACGUGUGGGAUUUUGUAUGUACCCUAUGAAUAAGGAUCGGCUAACUCCGUGCCAGCAGCCGCGGUAAUACGGAGGAUCCGAGCGUUAUCCGGAUUUAUUGGGUUUAAAGGGAGCGUAGGUGGAUUGUUAAGUCAGUUGUGAAAGUUUGCGGGUCAACCGUAAAAUUGCAGUUGAAACUGGCAGUCUGGAGUACGGUAGAGGUGGGCGGAAUUCGUGGUGUAGCGGUGAAAUGCUUAGAUAUCACGAAGAACUCCGAUUGCGAAGGCAGCUCACUGGACUGCAACUGACACUGAGGCUCGAAAGUGUGGGUAUCAAACAGGAUUAGAUACCCGGGUAGUC
Molecule: ribosomal RNA, 460 nt
Filed under: uncultured bacterium
Lineage: Bacteria
Description: partial 16S ribosomal RNA
Rfam family: Bacterial small subunit ribosomal RNA
Source: RNAcentral